GAUUCCAUCACAACCACCAUCGUCGUGGGCAGCUUGAUGGUGAGAGAUUUUGUCACCCAGGCGCCAGUGUCCAAGACAUCAACUCCCUUCACCCCACAGAUCCAGCCAACUACUCUAACAUAGGCACCAUUGUCACUCACUUCAGAUUUAUUGACAUUCGCUUUUGGCAAUCUGAGUAACUGAAGAAGGACUACAACAUUCUCUUGAACACCCUUGAUUUUACAGGGAAGCAACAGAGGACAUGGAAAUCGUAUUAUAUCGCAGAGAAUUAGAAGUGCAGGAAACGGGCUGAGGGGUGCGUCACUUGAGUGGGUUGAGUCACUGACGUGGUCUUCCUGUCUGGGUUGGCGUCCCCCCCUUGGGUUGUGCCAUGGCGGAGAUCUUUAUGGGCUAUACUCGGUCUUGUCUCAGGAUGGACCUGAGCCCUAGGACCAUGCCUUAGGGCUACCUGGCAUGAUGACUCCUUGCUGUCCCCAGUCCUGGCCGUGCUGCUGCUCCAGUUUCAACUGUUCUGCCUGCGGCUAUGGAACCCUGACCUGUUCACCGGACGUGCUACCUGUCCCAGACCUGCUGUUUUCAACUCUCUAGAGACAGCAGGAGCGAUAGAGAUACUCUCAAUGAUUGGCUAUGAAAAGCCAAAUGACAUUUACUCCUGAUGUGGUGACUUGUUGCACCCUCGACAACUACUGUGAUUAUUAUUAUUUGGCCAUGUUCUGUUAUAAUCUCUACCCGGCACAGCCAGAAGAGGACUGGCCACCCCACAUAGCCUGGUUCCUCUCUAGGUUUUAGUCUUUCUCGGGAGUUUUUCCUAGCCAUCGUGGUUCUACACCUGCAUUGCUUGCUGUUUGGGGUUUUAGGCUGGGUUUCUGUACAGCACUUUGAUAUAUCAGCUGAUGUAAAUCAAUUUCAUUUGUAAAAAAUUAAUACAUUUGAUAAUAGACAAAAAAAAAAUGUUUUAUUGGCACUCCCCAACAGGGGUAUAGUUAAGGGCACUGAAGGUGGUCUAUCAAUUUUAUUUUACUGUACAUUUUUGCUCAUCAUUCAUUUGUGAUAUUGAUUUGUGAUUGAUUGACUUAUUUGUGAUGUUUUAUGCCUGUUUCUGGAAUUUUGAAUAAACGUGCUAUAUUGUUCUGAAA
Long non-coding RNA from Oncorhynchus keta (chum salmon), 1136 nucleotides. RefSeq lists it as uncharacterized. The transcript has 3 exons. The record is from RefSeq and is a predicted model, not a curated record. Lineage: Eukaryota; Metazoa; Chordata; Actinopteri; Salmoniformes; Salmonidae.